Molecule: transfer RNA, 73 nt
Filed under: Fidelibacterota bacterium
Lineage: Bacteria; Pseudomonadati; Fidelibacterota
Description: tRNA-Thr
Rfam family: tRNA
About the family: Transfer RNA (tRNA) molecules are approximately 80 nucleotides in length.
Source: RNAcentral
GCCACCGUAGCUCAGUUGGUAGAGCAGCUCAUUCGUAAUGAGCGGGUCGGAGGUUCAAGUCCUCUCGGUGGCU